Long non-coding RNA from Austrofundulus limnaeus, 923 nucleotides. RefSeq lists it as uncharacterized. NCBI's taxonomy places the organism in Eukaryota, Metazoa, Chordata, Actinopteri, Cyprinodontiformes, Rivulidae. The record is from RefSeq and is a predicted model, not a curated record. The transcript has 4 exons.
UCACGAUGGGAACAUCCAAACGACUGGAGUUGAAGUCCUUCACGAUAAAAGUUUUGUGUCUUUCACCAGGCCGGAACCGCGGCUACAGGAUUCCAAACCUGGGGGGGCCUACAGGACCUCUUAGCCCCGGGGCCUACCAGGAGGUUAAGCAGGCCCUGUGCAAGCCAAGCAGAGAGAUGGAAGCCACACACACUGGUGCCAUCUUGCUCCCAGUACCUGUUACAGAAUGAUGUAAUCAUUGUCAGGAGGAUCUAAACAGAGCCGGAAGCCGAGGUUUUUCUAAAACAGGAGUGACCUAAACUGUGGAGGGUGAGCAGCUUGAACACCACAGGUCAACAAGGCUCAACAAAGAGGAGACUAAGGGAGUUUGUCAUGUCGACAAAGAUCCUCAGGAAGUUUCACAGCUGUGCUGCAGAGAGCAACCUGACCAGCUGCAUCACAGCCUGGUUCUGGAGGAAAUGAGGCCUGAGACAAACAUCUGCUGAGUCUGUGAGCUUCAGCUGAGACGUCCUCCACCUGCAGAGUCCACAGGUCUGGAUUUAAACACGGACAGAACCUUCACUUCGUCAGUAUAAGACCCUCCUCAGUCCUGACGCUGAAGAAAAGCUACAGAAAUCAACACAAACUCCGGUAAAAACACAAAAACUUCCUGCAGUAAGUGAAGCUGUUUCUACAAACUGUUUUUAACCUGAGCUGAGCUCGACACAGCUGGAGUGAAGAAAACUGUCUAAAUAACCAUCUUCAUGGUGUGAUGAAGACAAACAGCACAACUUCAUCACUUUACUUCCUGCAGCUCAGAGAGAAAAACACAGCAGCUGAAACACAAACGUAAAGUUUCUCUGAGGAGUUUUUUAUAUUUCUCAUCAAAAUGUUUAGUUUUUAAUAAAAACUUGAGUUCUGAUCAUUAAAAUAUAAACUUUUCU